Small nucleolar RNA from Polyodon spathula (Mississippi paddlefish), 75 nucleotides. The record is from RefSeq and is a predicted model, not a curated record. NCBI's taxonomy places the organism in Eukaryota, Metazoa, Chordata, Actinopteri, Acipenseriformes, Polyodontidae.
GUGUGAUGAGAUUAAACUGGAAUACAGCUGGAAUUACCGGCAGAUUGUUCAGUGGUGAGAACCGGUUUUCUGACC